UUUGAUGUUCUUGCUUCCACUAGCAUCAGUCUACGAGAGCUGAUUACUUCAAGCUUAAUGGAAGUGCUGGUUUUUGGCAAAGACACCAGUGACAGCGCACUCUUCAUUGUUAGACUCGUGACGAUUCUUAUAUUCAGCGCCCAUAACCUUAAGAAAGGGACAGACCCUAAGAAAGAGACAGAGGGUCAGUCAUAUGCGCAAAUUGUACAGCGUGUGGAGCCUGCUAGAAACUCCUUAACAGCAAGUUUCGAGUUACUUGGACACGUAAUAGAGCAGUGUGCGCAACUGCGUGAUCCUUCGUCAAGCUAUUUCUUGCCUGGUGUCUUAGUUUUUGUUGAAUGGUUGGCCUGUUGUCCUGAUAUUGCAUCGGGAAGUGAUCCGGAUGAAAGACUGGCUGCUGCGAGAAACAGCUUUUGGAACCAGUGUGUUGCCUUCUUCAAUCGACUCUUGUCGCUUGGGCCUAUGUAUAUUGAUGAUGUCGAAGAUGAGACUUGCUUCUCAAACAUGAGCAUGUAUGAUGAAAGAGAAACUGAAAACCGACUUGCUCUGUGGGAGGACUAUGAAUUAAGAGGAUUCUUGCCAUUGCUUCCAGCUCAGACUAUUCUCGAUUUCUCAAGAAAACAUUCCUUUGGAACUGAAGGGCCCAAGGAAAAGAAAGCUCGUAUUAAGAGGAUCCUAGCAGCAGGGAAAGCAUUGACCAGUGUGAUCAAGGUUGAUCAGAAUUGUGUUUAUUUUGACUCAAAGAAGAAGAAGUUUCUCGUUGGUGUUAAACCGUCCGGUGACUUACUGGAUUCUCAUUCAAACCCACCUGAAGCUGAUAAUGCUUUACAAGAAAACCAAGCAAUGAUGAACCAUAAUACGCCAGUGACGCAACGAGAUCAGCAGAUUUACUUGGAUGAGGAAGAUGAUGAAGAAGAAGAAAUUGUUUUCAAACCUCUAGUUACUGAGAAGAGGAAUGGGGCUUCUGACCAAACCUAUGUUCCUAAUGGAGGCUUGAGGAAUCCUGAUCAAGUUCCUAACGGAGGCUUCAGGAAACCUGAUCAAGUUGCUACGAUGAGAGAAGACUUAAAAUCUCUGAGUGUUUCAGAUGCAGCUUUUCAAGGAAACAUGCUUCAGCACUCAAGAGGCAAUGCAGCUGUUCAAGUGCCUGCGUCUGUUGGUUCUAACCUUCUGGGACAUCUUCUGCCGUCAACCCAGUCUCAGGGUAUGCAGUUGCAACAACCUCAGACACAAGCAGUGCAUCCUCAGCAAGCUCAAUCGCUGGCUUCUUCACGACUUCAACCACAUCAAUCACAGGUCUCACAACUUCAACCACUGCAAUCACGGACUGUGCACUUUCAACAAACUCAGGGACAGGUUUCACAUGCUGCACCGGCCCAGCCACAAUCAACUUCCCUUAGUGGUAGCAACUGGUUCCCAAAUGAAGCUGCUAGGAGCCUAUCUGGUUUCGCUCAGAUGGGUAAUGGUCUUGUGAUGAGGAACGAGAUGCAAGGAAACCAGGGAUUUUCCUAUUACCCUGCACACUCAUUGCCGAUCCACCAGUCUUUCAAUGUCAACGGUAUGGGUGGUAUGCCAUAUUCUCAGUCACGAACACCCGAAGCUGUGUUGCCACCCAAUAUCAAUGCUGUUUCAUCUGCUGGAGUUAUUGCUGAUGGCAUGGGUAUGCAGUCUUCAUUAGCGAGAAAAAAUCCAAUCGGUAGAGCCUCCAGGCAUCUCGGCCCUCCACCUGGGUUUAACCCUGUCCCCUCUAAGGUGGUAAAGGAGCCUGCACCUGGUCCGGAUAUGUCUGGCAACAAUCCACAGGUUGAUGAUUACAGCUGGUUGGAUGGAUACCAAGGCCAGCCGGUUCGGGUCUUCAGCGUCCAUCCACGAAACUCAAAUUCGAGAACCGGAAUGCAUUCAGCGAGUAACCCAGCACGUCCAUCCAAUGCGCCCAAAACAGUUUAUCCCCUUCCCCACUCGGAAUCAUCUCCUCUAUCGCCUUACCUAACCCCACAUCCUUCGCCACGUGUUCGUCGCAACAUCCAUCCGCAACCGUCGUCUCUCUCAUAAACUCUCUCUGAAGCGUAACCGCCGAAAUCCGAUCGCACGCCCCGGUGUUCAGCCGAAACGUCAGCAAUCUCUUCUCGCCGUCGCGCAGAUCGUAGAGACUAACGAAGAAGACGCCGCACUCGCCGUUACUCCAAAUGCAUUUCUGAAACACCCAUUUCGAUUCCGAUUGACUGGUUCAAAAGCAAUGUGUGGAUUCCCUAAAGAACUGUAGGAGGAGACACGCUUCAGAAAAUCUUCAUAGCGGCUUCAGAACAAUGGAGCCAUGUGGAUGUGUGAUAUAUGUUAGGUUACAUAAACUGGCACUAUCAAAUUGAGGGGUUUGAGAAGAUUAGGUCAUACCUAUUCUUCGAUCAGAAGCAGGUGAAGGCCGAUUAGCAUCCCGACUUUAGCGGGAUAUGGGCUUCUCAAAAGUGAAUCAACUUGACAGGCGGCGACUUUGUCGAAGUAAACAGUCAGAGAUCGACGAUUUGGAGCGUUUUAGGGCCACCAUAGCGAUGGUUCAAGGAUUUGGAGUCUAUAUAUAUAUAUGUAUCAAAGAGAAGUUGGAAAAUGGAUUGACAUGUAGAAGUUUGAGCAUACUCUAAACGGCAGAAGAUGAAGAAGAGGUAACAGAUGGCUAGGUAAACUUUAUGUCAAUUAAAUCAGAAUCUUUACAGUAGAGAAAUCUGAAAAGGUUGUAAACGGUGGCUGUGAUUAAUUAAUUUUGCCCGUAUUUUGAAUAAUAAUGAUAUGUAUUUUGGGCUAUAAUGAUGAGCCACGACAACACAGAAAAUCAGAAGCCCAUAACUAAGUUGGCCUGCGAAAAUUUUGUGUUGACUAACAGCAGACUGACGUGGCAAAAUGAAACUUCAUUAUUGGUUGAUUUUUAAAGUGACGUGGACACCUUUCCUGUGGAUUAUAUAUCCCUUUUAUUAUAGGAUAGAUUUUUUGUUUAGGCAAUUUUUUUCAAGAAAUUCAUAACUGAAGAAAGUAAAAAGGAAAAAUAGACGGUGAAAAAAAAAAGAAGAGGAAGUGAAAACUAUGGGAGAAAAAGAAAAGACAAAGAAACGACGUCGUCAAAGCUUAUUUUCCCUCGUUCACUAUUUUUUUUCUGUCUCGUAUAUAUACACUAAGGAAAAGUCUGACCUUGACAAAUAUACAACAUCACCGCGUCUCCUUCUCUCUCUUUUUUUUUCCUCGUUGGAAAAAAAAACCCCUAGCUUCUCCAUCUCUCACCGAUGGUCAUGGUCGCAUAGCCAUUCGCAGAUCUGGUAAAAUUGAGUUUAUAACCCUCUCUUUUCUCUUAUCCUAUUUCACAAUUUCGCUCUUGGUUGCUUUGUUUUGUGUUUUCCCCUUUUUACAAAAUUGAUGCUGAUUCUGCUUUGAUUACCCUCCUCGUUCGCAGAAUUUUUAGUCAUGAUUAUGGGUAACAUAGGGUUGGUCCUGAUUUUGGUUUUUCCUGAUUAUUUUUUUGGUAGAUUUCAACUCUAUUAAAUCGAAUUUUUUUUUGUUAUUCGUCAUUAUCUCUGGUUGAUCACUUGUACAAUCGAAUGUUCUCUGUAAAGGGUCUUGUUUUCUCUGUUCAAGGUUUUGACUUGAACUUGUUUUCUUCUUGUGUUAACACUGAUCGAAACUGCUUACGGAACUCUGAUUAAUAUCAUCUAUUGGCUCUUUAGAUGAUUGCUUUUGUUUAAGCUUCUUAUAUAUGUUUUUUUUUGUUAUAGAUAAUGACACCAGCAUAGCUUUAGCCUGAGAUUUUUAUUUAUUUAUUUCAGGUCGUUGACAAUUUUGAGACUUUGCAGAUGGAUAAAAAGACUGCUUCCUCGCCAUGGGAGCGAGCCCAAUCCAUAUUCGAUAAGGUUUCCUUCUCUUUCUUACUUUGACAACUCUGUGAAUUUACCUUUAUUAUUGUUUUUGGAGUAGUUUUUUUUACAAUGGAAGCUGUAUCAGUUCGUCUUUAGCUCAUCGUAGGGUUAUAAAGGCCGUUUUGUCUCUGUACUUGAGGCUAUGGUUUUGUAGACCUCUUUAUAGUGACAAUAUAUGCAUUCUUUGCAGACUAUUGAGUUGGAAGCCAAGCGUAGGAAGGCUGCACAGUCUCGGACCCCGACGUCUGACCCCAAUUUGUGGCAGCAAAUUCGCGAGAAUUACGAAGCUAUCGUUCUCGAAGAUCAUGCUUUCUCUGAGCAGCACACCAUUGAGUUUACACUGUGGCAGUUGCAUUACAAACGGAUUGAAGAGUACAGAUCAAACAUCAAUGCUGUCUUGGCUUCUGGUAGCUCCGGUGCGGCUCAGAAUGCAAAGGGUCCUUCUAUAUCCGAACGAGUCGCGAGGGUCAAGCUGAGGUUCAGAACUUUUCUUUCGGAAGCAACUGGGUUUUACCAUGAGAUGAUAUUGAAAAUUAGAUCGAACUAUGGUCUUCCCCUGGGUUACUUUUCCGAUGAUCAAGAGAGUCAAAAUUUGGCUGAUAAGGAUGGGAAGAAGCUGGCUCAAGUUAAGAAAGGCUUGGUGUCUUGUCACCGUUGCUUAAUAUACCUUGGUGAUCUUGCUCGGUACAAAGGAUUGUAUGGAGAGGGAGGAGAUUCCAAGAACCGAGAGUAUGCUGCUGCUUCGGGUUACUAUUUGCAAGCAGCUUCUCUGUUGCCAGCCAGUGGAAACCCACAUCAUCAGGUUCUCUCUCUUUCUGAUGAGAUCUUUUUAUUAGCUAUGUACAGUGUUUCUGAUUAGAUUAACUCUAUGUCUCAGCUUGCUAUAAUUGCUUCUUAUUCGGCGGAUGAGUUUGCAGCAACUUAUCGUUACUUCCGGAGCUUGGCUGUGGAGAGUCCUUUUCCCACUGCCCGUGACAACUUGAUUGUUGCUUUUGAAAAGGUUAACUAACGAAUUUAUGUUUUAAAUAUCUCAGUCGCUUAGGAUAAUAGCCAUGGUCCUCUCACUUUCUUAGUACUCAAAUAUAAUGUAACUUUACCUCUUUGUACGGUUAAGCAGAAUCGUCAGAGUUAUGCCCAGUUGCUUGCGGCUUCCAAAGACUCAUCUACAAAGCCGAAUGGUAAAGGAAGAGGUAAAGGCGAAGACAAAUCAUCGGAAGAUGCGAACGUGGCUUCUGUUCCUGAGAAGGAUAAAGUAACUAGUGCAAAUGAGAUGCUUAAAGCAUUCUGCAUUAGAUUUGUACGUCUCAACGGGAUUCUUUUCACCCGAACAAGGUAUUCUCUUUAUUUCUGAUUUUAGUUUGUUCUAGAUUCUGUUACUGGCUCUCUUAUAUAAAAUAUUUACCACUUGUCUUUGUCAGCCUGGAGACAUUCUUUGAUGUUCUUGCUUCCACUAGCAUCAGUCUACGAGAGCUGAUUACUUCAAGCUUAAUGGAAGUGCUGGUUUUUGGCAAAGACACCAGUGACAGCGCACUCUUCAUUGUUAGACUCGUGACGAUUCUUAUAUUCAGCGCCCAUAACCUUAAGAAAGGGACAGACCCUAAGAAAGAGACAGAGGGUCAGUCAUAUGCGCAAAUUGUACAGCGUGUGGAGCCUGCUAGAAACUCCUUAACAGCAAGUUUCGAGUUACUUGGACACGUAAUAGAGCAGUGUGCGCAACUGCGUGAUCC
RNAcentral lists this long non-coding RNA (5623 nucleotides) under Brassica napus (rape). RNAcentral's name for it is "long non-coding RNA (BNAP_LNC001117)". Lineage: Eukaryota; Viridiplantae; Streptophyta; Magnoliopsida; Brassicales; Brassicaceae. The record is from RNAcentral.